AGUGAACGCUGGCGGUAGGCCUAACACAUGCAAGUCGAACGGCAGCACAGAGGAGCUUGCUCCUUGGGUGGCGAGUGGCGGACGGGUGAGGAAUACAUCGGAAUCUACUCUGUCGUGGGGGAUAACGUAGGGAAACUUACGCUAAUAUCGCAUACGACCUACGGGUGAAAGCAGGGGAUCUUCGGACCUUGCGCGAUUGAAUGAGCCGAUGUCGGAUUAGCUAGUUGGCGGGGUAAAGGCCCACCAAGGCGACGAUCCGUAGCUGGUCUGAGAGGAGGAUCAGCCACACUGGAACGGAGACACGGUCCAGACUCCUACGGGAGGCAGCAGUGGGGAAUAUUGGACAAUGGGCGCAAGCCUGAUCCAGCCAUACCGCGUGGGUGAAGAAGGCCUUCGGGUUGUAAAGCCCUUUUGUUGGGAAAGAAAUCCAUCUGGUUAAUACCCGGGUGGGAUGACGGUACCCAAAGAAUAAGCACCGGCUAACUUCGUGCCAGCCGCCGCCGUAA
Molecule: ribosomal RNA, 506 nt
Filed under: uncultured bacterium
Lineage: Bacteria
Description: partial 16S ribosomal RNA
Rfam family: Bacterial small subunit ribosomal RNA
Source: RNAcentral